RNAcentral lists this unclassified non-coding RNA (306 nucleotides) under uncultured fungus. Its description in RNAcentral is "partial contains small subunit ribosomal RNA, internal transcribed spacer 1, and 5.8S ribosomal RNA". The stretch from base 1 to 73 matches the Rfam family "Eukaryotic small subunit ribosomal RNA", at positions 1759 to 1831 of the family's 1831-position model. Lineage: Eukaryota; Fungi. The record is from RNAcentral.
GCAAACUUGGUCAUUUAGAGGAAGUAAAAGUCGUAACAAGGUUUCCGUAGGUGAACCUGCGGAAGGAUCAUUACCGAGUGUAGGCCCUCCGUAAAAAAGGGGGCCAACCUCCCGUCCUUUUGCUUAGGGCCCCCCCUCUUUUAGGGGGUUGCUUUUCGGACCUUCUGCUUCGGCGGGGUAAUACCCGCCGGAAUAACCUCAAAAAUUCUUGUAUAACCGUUCCGUCCGAGGGGUUUGAAAAAAUAUAAAAUGCGAAAAACUUUCAACAACGGAUCUCUUGGUUCUGGCAUCGAUGAAGAACGCAGC